GGCUCGUUGGUCUAGGGGUAUGAUUCUCGCUUUGGGUGCGAGAGGUCCCGGGUUCGAAUCCUGGACGAGUCC
RNAcentral lists this transfer RNA (72 nucleotides) under Octopus vulgaris (common octopus). It matches the Rfam family "tRNA". Rfam says of the family: Transfer RNA (tRNA) molecules are approximately 80 nucleotides in length. Their secondary structure includes four short double-helical elements and three loops (D, anti-codon, and T loops). RNAcentral also lists the same sequence under 1 other name. Lineage: Eukaryota; Metazoa; Mollusca; Cephalopoda; Octopoda; Octopodidae. The record is from Rfam by way of RNAcentral.